Gasterosteus aculeatus aculeatus (three-spined stickleback) is the source of this 11046-nucleotide long non-coding RNA. The record is from Ensembl. Lineage: Eukaryota; Metazoa; Chordata; Actinopteri; Perciformes; Gasterosteidae.
CCCCCCCCCUACCCUCCUAAACCGCUCCUGCGCAGCUUCUCGGUUAAAAGGAAAAGUGUCCCUGGGCAGCGAGAGGCAACUUCUCUCCAAAAUAACCAAAAAACAGUGUGCACUCAUAUAUGAAUAACGUUCAAUUUAUCACAUGAAAGCCCAUAUAUUGAAUACAACACCUUGCACUGUCCCCUAUUCCAUCUAUUUCCCAACACUCACGAUGGUAAAGAGAAAUAAAAGCGGAGUUUCAUUCCCAAAGUGACGUUUGUAUUGUAUUCUGCAAAGGAAAUCCAUGCUGUAAACACUGAUUUCUUUGUCUAUAAAUUGUUGUAAACAACAUUACUUAUUUGUAGCUGAGAGCGAGGUUUUUACAUAUCUAGAGCCUUUGUGUAUUUUGCUUAUUUCAAGUUAUGCUUCUAUCGUCGAGCCAUGAAAAUCUACACACUCGUAUUUUUAUUCUCAUUCCAUCCAGUGGUGACAACAAGAAUAAGUGAUCAGGAUGGUAAAACAAACUGAAGACCAAUAAAAAAAACCCCACAAUAACAGCUCAGAACCACAACAAUGGAUCCAAGUCCGUGUCACCCUCCUCCUGUAAAGAGGCUGCUAUUGUAAUGCUAUUGUAAUGCUAAAUAUUUCAUCAGUUGGCUGAGAGAGAAGUUCAGAGGGCCUCGGGAGAGGGUGCUAUCCGCCACGACUACUUGUCAAACCUGCACAUUUUCUGGGCUAUGGCCUCUUUUCUUAACAACCCGCGAGAGGAAGACAAUGAGAGAGAAAUGGCCCUUAUGUAUGAUAUCGAAAUUAUUGGAAGUUUCCUUCCAAUAAGAGGAAACUUCUACCACAAAUUACCAUAUUUUCAAAAUAAACUAUAUAGGAAAAUUAGGAAAAUCUAAAACAUAUGACAUUCAAUUGUGCAUUUUUAUUGCAUCCGUUAUUUCCAAUAAUUAGAGCAUGUGUUAGGCCAAAGACGCAUUGUGUUUUCUAAUCAUUUGUUGAUGGAGUCAUAUGCUGAUGUUCACGCAGUACAUCAGAUGAGGAUGGGAAGGUAAAAGCCACCAUUCACACACCUGACCUGUAGUCCAACACAUGCAAAUAAACUCCUCCACGCCCCAUGCCCACCGUAACCAUGGUGGCGUGUAGUUGAAGAGGAUUGGAGUCUACUAACACAUCCUCGUAGGUCCUCUUUGUUCAAGGCCGACCGAUGCCAUUCGAUCCUCAGCUCGCAUUGACUUGCAUCGAAAGUGGUUCAAAAUGAUCUUUGCAGGCGUUUGAAAUAACCACGGCGAAUUAACGAGUUGAGGAAUAACUCGCUUCACAGCCUCAAAGCCAAUACGGGCUCCUGGGGGAGUGUUCUGAGGUAGCAUUCAUAGGCUUUGAAAUGUUUUCCUCUAGCCAAACGGUGAGCCCUUGUUACAGGGACUUGACAUUGUCACACGUUGUAACAGAGAAACAGCUGCUAUGAGGAUGGGGAAGAUGUUGUGCGUUCCACAAAGCCAGAGUAAUACGCUGCACCAUCCUCCACCUUGAUCAGAACACAUCAGGUUUUUAGCUGCCAGAAAAAAAUGUCAUACUGGUGGAGAAAAUAUACCCUUAACUCUCUUUUUUCAAAAGUUAGUAUCAAGAACUAGCUUAACAGACUGCCAUUUAAUAGACUGCAAUACAUAGAAAUGAGAAAGCCCUGAGCACAACAAGCUCCCACUGUAAGAGGCAGAAACUGUCCACAAUAUUCCCCAGUUAAUUCCAUUCAUAGUGGCUUGAACCAAUGUGCGUAUCUAACAUGACCCGGUACAGAGAGUCCGAACAUCGAGAUCAGCUGGAGGAGAGUCGUGUCUCUUGAACGAAGAUGCUUCAGAGGGCGUCGCAGCAGUAUUUUCUAAAAACUCCCCAUCCAUUUCAAAGGUCCAUGCUCAGCGCAGAGGAUUUUCUGCAUCUCUUCCAAUUCAUUACCCAUUUGCCCACAUGUAUUAUUCUGCUCGCUACGCAUUCCCUCUUGUCUCUGGGGGCAAAUUUAUUGGUUGAAGCAUUUUGACUCCACUUACCUUUUAAAAGCCGCCGUUUAAUGGUUGAUAUUUUCUCUCUCACGUGUGCUCCUCGAUAGCCCGGCAUCCAUGAGUUCCUUCUACUUUGAUGAGCUGGAUACUUUGUUCACUUUGCCAUAACUGGAAGUAUUGCCGAUGAGUUUUGUCUCUAGAUCUUUUAACAUGUGUUUAACAAUAUUGGUCAGUUUAUUAAUGGAUAUACUGUAUGUAUGUAUUGAGAUAUCUAUAGAUCCAUAAUAUAUAUAAUUAUAGCUAUUAUAGUCUAAUUUAAAUGAUGCUUCAAAUGGUGAAGCAGUUUUCUUAUCAAUAUUUUUGCUAUUAUGAUGACCUACAGUAACCAGGAGAAAUAAAAUAUAAUCAUUCAUUAGUUAUUAUAAUAAUUAUAAUAAAGCAAUAUAUAUUCUAAUAUUGACAAAAAAGAGAUUCUGAAUUUGUUCUGGAUGUACAUCCAAUUUAACAGUGUAUGUGAGCCUAAAUGAGUCAGUGGUAUGAUUUUAUACAGGACAUGAAUCUCCUUCUAUCUUCUGUGUGGGGGAGAGAGAGGGGGAACGUUAUGCAUAUUUCAGAUCGAUUUAAGCAGCGUCCUGUGGGUCCUUUAAGAGCUCAUCAUAUUCAUGAGGACGAUAUAUAAUCGUCAUCAGGAGAGUGUUGCAGAACCUCAGAGUUGAGAUGACUUUAAUUCUUGCUGGCAUUUGGUUUGUAUGGUGUUGAAAUUGAAAAAUCAACUAACGUUGGAAAAUGUCUGACGUUUUUUUUUAGGCCAGAGGGAAAACAUCACAAUAGAAGAAAGUUGUACAGUGUUAGUUGGACCACAGAGUCCUGUGUUAGAAAAUUGUCCUAUUAUGGAACCCACAAGCAUUCACAGAUCCAUACACACUCACAAGCAUACACUGCAGAUGGGGAGACAGGCAAAUUGUAAGUGCCCUCACUUACAAUUUGCCACAGCGGUUCAUCGGUAGGACAGAGACAUAAAUCUUGGUGCCCUUAAGACAGCUGUGGGAACCAGAGAGGGAGAAGUUUAAACGGCCCAUACAGCUUUGAUUCACUGUAAUUGUCACAGAACAGUCGAGGACAGCGCUGAAACGUCCCCACAGAGACCACCCCCUUGUCCAAGCUUCAAAUAGAUCUUGAUAUAUGGAAUUAAGUUGCAAUUAGAGGAAAUACAAUUCAUGAAGGCCUGCUGUCAAAAUAACCAAUUAUCUGAACGGUAAAGGAAAUAGUUAUUAUCGUUCCAAUUUUAUAACCUUUAGGGGAUAAACUAUUGAUAAUUCACCUCACCAACUUCUCUUUUUAAUUGUCUGUGCAGCGCAGCGUCCAAAGUAAUGAAACUACACACAUACAAGGCAAGCCAAAAAGAUUAAGCCAGCAUAACAAGGUACCCAGUUGUUUGUCUGCAGUUGAUCUACGCUUGGACAAUAAUAUAACAAUAUCACCAUGAAUUUAAGUGUGACCUGUGAUACGCAGUUAAAUAAUAUUCACUUUUUCAAAGAAAGUUUAGAUAUAAAAACAUUCUGUAAAAGUAAAGUAAAUGCAAAGCAUUCAAAAUCCUGAGGAAAAGUAUUCAAGCUGAAAAUAAGGAAAAUAUUUAGGUGUAAAUCUUAAGAAUAUUAUUAAAAAUACCAAGUCGAGCAUGAAAACAAAACAUUAAGAGUAAUUUUGAUGAGAAAUGAAACAAAUACGAAAUUUUUGACUUCUGAAAAAAAGUCCUCUUCCUCUCAUUUUUCAGUUUUUCUUGACCCGCAGACUCUUCUCUAAAGUUAUACUCCAGCAUUGAUACAAAAGUACUUACUUCAAAUUAUACUAAAAGUACCAAGAGUUAAAGAGCUUUGUAUAAUGAAUAAUGUAUUUCAAAAGAAUGGAUAUCAAAUUACUGAUUAUAAUAUUAGUUUAUUUGACUGAAUUUAAGGGUAGGGAUCAUUUUAAUGCUGCUGGGGAGCUAAAUAGAAAGAUGUGUAAAAAGUUUAGAAAAAUUUAGUGAAGUAGGAGUUUACAGUAAAGUAGGAUUAAAUGGACUUAAUACUCAAGUAAAGUACCAGAACAUCAAUAAGUAUUUCAUACAUAUCUUGCAUAACACUCACAACAUAAUAAAGGCAUCGACAUCAAUACCUCAAUUAACUUUAUCAUUCAUCUUUGGUGUUUGUAACGAGUUCUUUCCUGUGACAUGAUUGACAAGUAGGAAUGGUGGUGCACGCUGCUGUGUUUUUCCAAGCAGGCCCCCCGAUCGCAUCAGUCACACCUGGAGACUGCCUUGGGCUUACCAGCCUGUAAUUUCAUGGCUCAAAAGUACAAUGUCUCAUUCUGUCAACACUCAUUCCUGAUGGAAGCUUGCUCAUUUGCUGCCAUAUCCAGCCUGCACACUGCUACGUUUUGGCAUUGUGAGAGUGUUGCACAAUAUAUUAACGGCAUCAUCAUUUUGCAGGAUUUUUUUGUUGGUGACGGAAAGAGACUAUAAGAAAAUAGAAGAGAGCAGUUUUUUGAGGGAUGAGAUUGAGAUUGAUGGCAACUGUAAAUCACUUUUUGGACAAAUCAGACAUACAAUGAUAUUGGUAGACAAUAUGUUGUCGUUUUAUGGCACUCUAAGUAAUAAAUGCAGCCUCCCUCCUGCUCUAGCUCUCUCCUCGUGUGUUAAAACAAUAAAUGACAACUCACCAGCGAGGACUCUCUAAGUAUACACUGUUUCAUGCAUCAUAAACAAUAUACAUCUUUGUUUUCUCCCCCUUGCGUGACUAUUAAGCUAAAGCGCUUUGCUGUCUGCUCCUUCCUACUAUCUUAUAUCUGAGAAAUAAUUAACAAUAAGAUAUGCCUGCGCUCCUUCAAUCGUUGGGAUAAUGGUUUUCAGAUAAUCAAUAUGCAUAUAGUUGUACAUUUAAAUUAGGAUCAAUACUGUACGCUUUGCUUAAGUUAAACUUUAUGCUAACAAGACAUGUCGUUAGUUAAUUUAAGAGCAGUGUUUAAGUACCCCGAUGACUUUGGUAUAAGGUCCUGAAAGUAGUAAUGCCUAAAGAAUUCAGAUGAGCCAAUGGUGUCAAAUGCAGUUCAUAGUUUAUGACAAUGGAAGGGACUUCAUCGGACAAAUGGGAUCCUUCUGCAACACUGUGUGCUCUUUCGAUUACAUGCGCAUCUAUAUAGAAAAAAAGACAACAACGCUAGUAUUUUAUCACUUGCUCGACAGUGAAACCAACUGUAUUUCUUAAUGACUAUGCACACAUGAGGUUUGGAUAAGUCACGCAUAUGGAAAAACACAGGGCAACCUUCUAAUUGUAUUCAAAGGAUGAGAGCACUUAAAUGUUUCUUAACAUCAUGUUGAACUUAACCAUCCCCGGUCGCCAUGGCGCCAGAGGCAACAGUGACAGGAGUUCAAAGGUUAGGCAAAGUGCAAAGCUUUAUUAUCGGUGGAAAAGCAAUUUUCUAUAAAUCGAUUUCCAACGAUCAUAAGCCCCCGAAGGCUUUGAUGCUUUAUUAUCGUCACAUUAAAACCAAUAUGAGAAGACAAGAAAAGAAGAAAAAAAUAAAUCGAUUAGUAUUAUUCACAGUGAUGUGCUGUGGUGGUGGUUAAAAUAUAAUUUUCAGGAAAAAUGUAUACAACUGUCGUCUAAAUUGUUCACAGACAAUAGAUUGCAAAUUGUAAAUGCAUAUAGUAUUCUUUACAGUGGAAAAUGAUUGAGUUGAAUUUGAAUAGACUAUCUGGGUAAAACAAGCCGUGUAGGUGGGUCCACAGUACGCCUAUGUGUGCACGAAUAGUUGCUCAUUCAUGAAUAUGUGUAUCUUUGAGUGAUACCGCUGCUCCGACAAUGGGGCCCUCCUUAGAUUUGCAGGCUGAUGGCGUGUCACGCUGAAAUAGAUCCCCCUCAGCACUGACACCAGAAGUCAGACAGUUUGAUGGUUCCCCAACUUGGGUCGCUCUCUGUGAUUGACGUUUGGUAGAUUGCCUGCCGACCAAACAUGAGUGUGAGGGAGACACAGCCUAGUCAAUAUCCCCCCGCCUCGUGAUGUGUUUUAAUGUCUGCCGCAUGCAUAGAGAAAAUAGCCAACAAACACACACACACACACACACACACACAAUGGUGUUAUCAAAGUUUACUUUCCGUCUCUGUGAUAUUAGUAUUAGUUUUACGUGAGGAGGCUGUUCUUGAUUGUAAGUAAUGACUGCGUCAUUUACACACAUGUCUAUGUGGACAUGUGUUUCAAAACACUAGCACAUGUAUGGAGUACGCCGUGAUCUGGAGAGGAUGGAUGAAUGCCUGUAGCAUGAAGAAGACAUUUUGGAGUGUAGACAGAUAUAGUGUUUAGUUACCUUUCAAGGACACAGGAGUGAACGGAGAUGGUAAACCAAACAUUCAGAAUAAGAAACCUAAAAUGCACAAUUUAUUAGAGUAAUAUAUGACUGCGCAUAAUACGUGUAUAGAGAGAGAUGCUGUUAAAUGCCGAGAAACAAACUCAACUGAAAAGCGGAAAAAUAAAUGAUGUCCUUCAGUUGGUUGACUACAUUUGUAGAAUAAAGUUAUUUUGUGUCUGAAUAGACUUCAUCUAUUUCACAUCACCUUCUUUGUAAAUUCCUCAACAGUUUUUUUUAAAUAAAGUGUGUUGUUUCCUACACAGGUUGACAACAUCCACACAUUGCUGCUGCUGCGCAGUGUUCUGGAUAUAUGAAUUGAAUAAACACACACAAAGUGCACACAGAGGCCGGUGAACUGAGGCCAUCAUCAAAUCACGCUGAGCAUUGUUACAUUGGAACGGGGGAAGCAGUGGGCCGGAAAGCCCCUGUGUUCGUCUGAGAGAAGGUAAGAGAGGGAACAGUGCUCUGAGAGUGUGUGUGUAUAUGUGUGUGUGUGUGUGUGUGUGUGUGUGUGUGUGUGUGUGUGUGUGUGUGUGUGUGUGUGUGUGUGUGUGUGUGUGUGUGUGUGUGGAGCAAAGUCAGGGGGAAAAGAAAGGACGAGAGAAAUGGAAAAGGGACCAGACGCAGGAGAGUGAGAAAAGAGAGACGGAAAGCCAAAGUGGCGAGAAACUCAAGAAAUGACAAGAAGUCUACAGAGGGACACGGCGGGAGAAAGAGAGAUAGGUGGAGGAAAGAUGGAGAGGAAAGUGAAGUAAAGAGGAGAGGAAAGAGCAGGUGAUGUGACUGAAAAAAAAGAGCGGAGUGGGGGGAUCUGGUGGGGUUACGAAAUGGCAAGAAGGAACCCAGGGGAAGGGAGAGGGAAAAGGGUUGAAAAGGUGGGAGGAGAAGUGUAGAAAGGAGAGGCUAAGGUCACGGGGGAAUAUCUCCUGUUGCCCAUCCAGGCUACUUCUGCAGGUCAGCCAAGAAUUCCUCCUGUUUUACUUUCUAGAUGCACACUCUUCUGCUUGUGUUUUCUAACCUCUCCAUGUUUCCACCAGGAGGAUUAUCCUCCAUCCCUUUAUGGAUGGAGGGGAUUAAGGGUAGAGAAAGGAAAAAACAUAUAAGCGUGUAUAUUUAUUUGAACAUAGAUUGUCAGUCUUUAAGUCACACAAGAGAGAACGAAAGAGGGGAGGGAGACAUAAAGAAAAGGUCAUUCUGUUGGUUGUGACCAGAGGGGAUAUUUUGUGCAAGGAAAUUGCAGUGUAUUGCUUUUGUGACAGAGGAAAUGUAAACUGGCCGUGUGGGUGUGUGACCUCUCGGAGUGCAAGAAGGGGGACUAAAUGGACACAAAACACCCCCUGGGAACGUUCUCAAUUCCUAAUGUAACUAAAACAGUUUUACGGACGUGGUAAUAGCUGAUUGUUUCUUUAUGUGCCCCGCGAGUCGGUCAUUGCUGAGCAUUUCAGAACAUGCGGAUAAUGGUGCAGAGGUGUGAAAGUCAAGUCAAUGACUCAGAUGAAGAGUUCUAUCUAAAUUGUUUUUGUACUAUAAAUAAAAUGUGAAAAAAGGAAAUGGUGGAAUUAAUGAGAUUUGAAAUACCAUUUAACAUUUUAAGUAUUUUGCUAUUAAGUCUUGGUAAAAAAAUAAAUGUAAGUUAGCAGGACAUUGAUAAAUAAAGUGUCACAAUACUUUCCCUAUUUCACCAAUUCUGAUAAAUCAGUUGUCAGCGUGAUAUUGCUGUGUAAGCUUCCCAUGCAUUGGUAAGGAGCUCGGGGGAAACAGUAUAAGAGCUGCCACCUCCUGGCACCUUGACGUAUUGCAACUGCUCUGCUCCAAAUCAGGACAUCAAAUGACCAGAUACUUCAUAGACUGUGCAGCAGAAGGCUGGCAAAGAAACAUUGUCACAUUCAUAAAGUAACCAUGCAAGAAAUGCCACCUGGUGUCAAGCUCACAUUAGUGAAUUUGAAGUGGACGGUGGAUAAAGGCAAGAAACGUCACAUGCAUUAGUAGAUAUUGUAGCAUAACAGAAGGUAAUUCGGAACAGGAUCUGUAUCUUUCAGACUGUCACAGUAUUACAAAGACGGAAUGAAUACAUUUUACAGCAGACACAUAUAGAGAAGAAUAAUGUAUGAAAAACAUGUGGUUAGAUCAUGUCCCUGUUGAGGUAUACAUUGACGGAUGUAAAUGUUACAUUCUGCUGUGCAGCAGCCCAUUAACGCAGAACUAAACAGUCUAUAAUGCAACAUCAAAACCUUAACAGUUGACUGGGCCCAGUCACAACUUAUCAAUGCUGCGACAUUUAAACACGUCUGCACCAUGUGAGUUAAUACCUUUUAAGCAUCCGAAACAUUGCACAUACUUGCACUUACAUAUGCACACACACACACACACACACACACACACACACACACACAGUCAUAUUGUUUUUCUCACAUCCAUUCAACUCACAAGUGGUUCAAAGAUUCAAAGCAGGUGCAUUUUACAGCUUUACAGAAUAAAAACCCAAACAUAGGGAGUGUAACACUAUUGUAUGAAAAGUUAAGCAUGAUGCAAAUGUGUUUGUGUGCUCAGUGCGGUGUCUGACUCUUUUCCGUUACUAUUGAUAAGUUAACCUUUAAGACACCCGACACUGGUCUGUAAUAGGUCGCAUGCUCCCCUCUCACUCCUCUGUCAGAAAAUCAAUUGAGUGAAAGAGAGAAGAGCAAGAUGAAGUUUGAAAAGAAUCUUCCUAUAAUGUCUGACUAAGCGUGUGUGAGUUGCAUGUACUGUAUAUGUUUCGGCAUUCUUUUUAAAAUGGAAUUACAACGUAAAAUGGAUUGAAAUACUGGUAAUAGAUUUAUUUUGCAAACCGUACUGGAGACGUAGUGUGGUGGAAGGCGGACAGUGUUUUGGUGUUGAAUUGAUUUUUUCUUCAAAUAGAAUUAUGUGACUGCUCUUGUUACACAUCCAACGCUUUAAUGUUUCAUUUGUUCAGGAUCAGGUCUCUAAGACACUCCUGAUGUCCCUAAGAUACUGGGAAUUAUGGAGAAGACAUGCACACACACGCACACACACAUGCAGGCAUACAUACACACUCGUCACUCUCAAUCAAUUCCCUGUAUGCUGUUGUCAGUGUAUAAAGAUCGCACAUAUAGACACACAAACUGGUCCAUUGUUGAGCAAAUAGGGUGUGUAUCCCAAAAGUUAUUAGCCCUGAUAUAUUUGGUCAUUAAAAAAAAGCGUUUGCCAUGAACAAAACAUUAAGGUACUUUUUAUUCUUCCACUAUGAAAAUAUCUGUUCUAUAGCUCUUGACUUGACUUGAGUGGACUUUCUACGUGAGAAAUCCAACUUGGCGACAUCAUGAAGGGUAUUUCCCAUAUUUAGUAAUGUAAAUAUUGUCUUUGUCAACUAAUCGUCUAGGCGUGAAUAUAAGAAUGAUGGCAUUAUGUGUAAUUUGGGGCUUGACAUAUUCUGGGCAGUGCAAUUCUGCUUUGAUCUUUGACCGUUAUUUUUUAAACGCUAUUUUUCCUCUUCAAAGCCUCUAAACUCAAUGGUGUAAUAUGAAGUUGUCUGGACUUGAAAGAUAAUUAAACGUUCAUUAUGAAUCACAUCAUUUGAGAAAGAAGAAGGCGAAUCACAGAUAGGACGAGAGAAGGGAAAUGAGUUCUGGCAGAUAUAAACAGGCCAGUGGAAACUUAAACUGCCUGGUUGACAUCUGGUGCCUCUGGUGGGCUCAGAUCAUAAUCAAUAAUGGAACGGGCAAAGAGCACUGUUACUCCCUCUCCUCCGCCUACUGUAUCCCUCUCUUCACUGUCCUUGUUUCUCCUGUCCAGUAAUCCAUUGUUCUCUCAUCUACCGACUUUACCAUCAAUGAGGCUACGUGACCAUUGAGCUGUUACUGCCAUUUACAGCCAACUGAAAACUGUAUGUAAGUUCGAUACGCUUCCAUUUCAAUAUAAAAAAAGCAUUUUCCUCACUUUGGACAUCACCAUCAUAAACUCCACCGAAUGGUCCUUUCUGUUCCUCAAUGUCUUAUAUGUGUGCGGACCACCAACAGCAGCAGAUCAUCCGGUAUCAGGUUGUUCUUCUGAUUACUUGUACACAUUCUUCUCUCCUCAAUAUUCCACAACCCUUUAUUUCUCCUGCUCCACCACCUCCUCUACUCCCUACAUCCACGUCUCCCCUCCUCAGCGAGACCCCCCACAACAGCAGCAGCUUGUCGUCCUAACAUCCCAUUCCUCUCUUCCCCAAUCCCCGGGUCACUCUUUAGGUUUCAAACUCCAUUUUGCUGAUCUAUAGGCUUCUCCUUGGUAAAUUAGUCUGAAGUGGUUUGGACAGUUGUAUACAGCUUGUUGGAGGGCCAGCUGCCACAUGUCCCACUUAUUUAUUCAUCUCUACAUUGAUUAAUGGAGAGAGGGGUCACAGGUCAACCUUUUAUUGUAGAAGAAGCUGACCCGAAAACAAAUAAAUACUCUUUUUCUUGGGAUGUGAUACCCGACUGUGUUGGACCAGAUUGUCAAGAGACGGGAAGUAGUAUCAUCCAUUUCUGUGACAGAUGUCCGAGAAGUACGGUUAGAUAUUGGAUGAAUAGUUUCUUGACAAUGUAUACAAGUCGAUGUGUGUUUUAUUGAAUCAAACCAUGCUCGGCUUUGCACUGAAUGUUUUUUUCCAUUUCUGCUUCAUUCUUUUCUUACUAUGCAAAAUGAACGGUUAAUUCCAAAAAU